This is an RNA transcript of Hemicordylus capensis (graceful crag lizard), 1894 nucleotides long. RefSeq lists it as uncharacterized. NCBI's taxonomy places the organism in Eukaryota, Metazoa, Chordata, Lepidosauria, Squamata, Cordylidae. The record is from RefSeq and is a predicted model, not a curated record. The transcript is spliced from 3 exons.
CGAUCGCAGCCGCUCUAGGCUGCGCGGCUUGUUUGCCCUCAGCCCCACCCCCUGGAGCACGUGGCACUGGGAGCUAGCUCCCAUUGGCCCGGCUCCGUCUCGGAGGCGGGGCUAGCAGCAGUGAACCGGCAGCAGGCCUGUGCCGGCUCAGUCCUUCCCUGACCGAGCAGAAGGAAGGACGUGCUGCUGCUCGGGUUCGGGGCCUCCACGUGGCCGGCUGGGUACCCGAAUCGGAAGCCGGAGCAGGAGGCCCACGGGAGCGGAACGUCGGGGAGCAGUGCAGCGGCCCUUCGAGCGAGCAGCGGAUUGGAGCGGCUCGGCGGCCAGGGCCUCUGUAGCCCGGCCGCCUGUGGUAACGGGCUCUGGGGGGAUCACAGGAGAGGCUUUUAAGUCCUCCUCGGAACGGCCUUUGAUCUUCGGGCCUCUCCACACAAGGGCUUCUAGGCCCCGCAGGCCCAAGCUGCCCGGCAUCGAGUGAGGGCAGCAGGCCGCCCCAGGCCCUCAAUAGGCCGCGCCAGGCCUUCAGCGGGGGGGCAAUUGACUAACCCGGUUAUCUGGGGGGAGGGUUGAUUGGACGUUGGGGGUGUUGGCUUGAACUGUGUGGAACCCCUUCAACCCAGGGCCCGUUUAGGCCUUCUGCUAAGGGCGGCCUUUGCCUUUAUUGUCGGGCCUGUAGGGCCUAACCCCCCCCACACACACCCAUUUUGGGGGCCUGCAUUGACUAGGCCUCCCUGGUGGGCUCGUGGGCCUCCCCUGCCGGGCCUAAGCUCCAUUUGGGGGCCUUUCAGUGGGGCUGGGCCUUACCACGGCUAGGUGGGGCAGGCGCUGUGACUCAUAGGCCUUCCUUGCCAGCGUAGGCCUCAGUCAGGCCUUGCGCCGGCCAGGUCACUCAUUUACGCACUUGAGGGCAGGGUACAGGCCCAUAAGCUUCAUCCUUUGGGACAUGGGCCCUAAGAAAGCCCCAGUUAAGAAAGCCCCAGUUAAAAAGGGUGGGAAGGCUCCAGCCAAGAAGGGUGGCAAGCCAACGCGGCCACCUAAGAGGCCAAACGCACCCGCCGAAUCCUCCUCCGACGAUGAGGGCGAUUUGGAACUGGGCGCCAUCAGGGCGUUUAUAGCACGGCUGCAGGCCCUUGAGAGGCAGCGCACCACUCUAGAGGGCGACGAGGCAGGCGGGGGGCCUUCGGGGGUGCCCCCACAUGCAAAAAAGUCAAACAGGGCGGAAAAGAAGGCAAAACUAAUGCAGGGCUUUGCUGACUGUCUAGCAGCUUUGGAGGCGGCGGCGGGAACUGCCCACGAGGAACCAGCGGGGAUCACGACACAACCGGCGGACUCAGGACCGGGAGACGGCAGGGACGACAAUGGACCAUGGUCUCAUCUUCUGUACAAAGUUAAGCAGUGAGUGCCAUCUCUUGUUUCAAGACACAACAGAAUUUGAAAAUCCCAACUCCCUGUGAUUAGCUGGAUGUUUUCAUGGCCCCUCCUGGAUCUUGAUAUGCCUGGUCAAAAGCUGAGGUGACAAAAAGCAAGACUGCCCAGAGCCUUUGGAAGGGGUGGUUUAUAAAUGUAAAUCAUCAUCAUCAUCAUCAUCAUCGUCGUCGUCAUCAUUAUCAUCCCAACUUCCUGAGGAUGCAUUCAGAAGAAAGCUUCACUGAGAGAAUAGUAUGGAAAAUUCAUCAAUGGGUGACUUCCUUAUGUCACAGUCCCAAAGGACUGGAUAAACACAUUUGCUGUCAUCCUGACAAAAUUUACUAAUAUAAAUUUAGACAGGAUGUCAGCCAUUUUGAUCAAUGUUUCUACCACAAGAAAACCUUUUGUUUUAAACAGGCCAUGCACAAAGAAGUUGAUAUAAAUUGGCUUUGUUUUUCUUUUACAAUAAAAAGAUUGGUCAAAUAAU